This 235-nucleotide ribosomal RNA is filed under the name uncultured bacterium. RNAcentral's name for it is "partial 16S ribosomal RNA". It matches the Rfam family "Bacterial small subunit ribosomal RNA", at positions 118 to 351 of the family's 1533-position model. The record is from RNAcentral.
UGAGUAACCUGCCCUUAACUCUGGGAUAAGCCUGGGAAACUGGGUCUAAUACCGGAUAUGACUCCUCAUCGCAUGGUGGGGGGUGGAAAGCUUUUGCGGUUUUGGAUGGACUCGCGGCCUAUCAGCUUGUUGGUGAGGUAAUGGCUCACCAAGGCGACGACGGGUAGCCGGCCUGAGAGGGUGACCCGGCCACACUGGGACUGAGACACGGCCCAGACCUCCGUACGGGAGGCAG